AGGAAUUGGCGGGGGAGCACCGCNACGGGAGGAACGUGCGGUUUAAUUGGAUUCAACACCGGAAAACUCACCAGCAGCGACUGUUACAUGAAAGUCAGGCCGAUGACCUUACUAGAUUUUCAGAGAGGUGGUGCAUGGCCGUCGUCAGUUCGUACCGUAAGGCGUUCUCUUAAGUGAGAUAACGAACGAGACCCUCACCAAUAAUUGCUACUGCAUCGUCCGCGAUGUAGGCACAUUAUUGGGACCGCUGGCGCUAAGUCAGAGGAAGGAGAGGUCAACGGUAGGUCAGUAUGCCCCGAAUCUGCUGGGCUACACGCGCGUUACAAAGGGCGGGACAAUGGGCUCCGACGCCGAAAGGCGAAGGCAAUCUCGAAACCCGUCCGUAGUUCGGAUUGAGGGUUGUAACUCACCCUCAUGAAGCUGGAUUCCGUAGUAAUCGCGAAUCAACAACUCGCGGUGAAUAUGUCCCUGCUCCUUGCACACA
This 484-nucleotide ribosomal RNA is filed under the name uncultured archaeon. RNAcentral describes it as "bacterial SSU rRNA". It matches the Rfam family "Archaeal small subunit ribosomal RNA", at positions 860 to 1345 of the family's 1478-position model. The record is from RNAcentral.